UCCCGUCUGGAGUCCGCGACACGACCUAUGUGAAACUCCUUCGACGAGUCGAGUUGUUUGGGAAUGCAGCUCUAAAUGGGUGGUAAAUUUCAUCUAAAGCUAAAUAUUGGCCAGAGACCGAUAGCGCACAAGUAGAGUGAUCGAAAGAUGAAAAGCACUUUGAAAAGAGAGUUAAACAGUACGUGAAAUUGUUGAAAGGGAAGCGCAGGCAACCAGACUUGCGCGUCGGGGUUCCCCCUUGCUUCUGCCUGGGUUACUCCCCGGCGUUCAGGCCAACAUCGGUUUCGGGGGUUGGUUAAAGACCCUGGGAAUGUAUCUACCCGGCGGGGUAGACUUAUAGCCCAGGGUGUCAUGCGACCUCCCGGGACCGAGGAACGCGCUUCGGCUCGGAUGUUGGCGUAAUGGUUGUCUGCGGCCCGUCUUGAAACACGGACCA
This 436-nucleotide ribosomal RNA is filed under the name Cyphellophora oxyspora. RNAcentral's name for it is "LSU rRNA". It matches the Rfam family "Eukaryotic large subunit ribosomal RNA", at positions 219 to 668 of the family's 3401-position model. The record is from RNAcentral. Lineage: Eukaryota; Fungi; Ascomycota; Eurotiomycetes; Chaetothyriales; Cyphellophoraceae.